Molecule: ribosomal RNA, 534 nt
Filed under: uncultured bacterium
Lineage: Bacteria
Description: bacterial SSU rRNA
Rfam family: Bacterial small subunit ribosomal RNA
Source: RNAcentral
CGGCCUUGACAUACUAAGAACUUUCCAGAGAUGGAUUGGUGCCUUCGGGAACUUAGAUACAGGUGCUGCAUGGCUGUCGUCAGCUCGUGUCGCGAGAUGUUGGGUUAAGUCCCGCAACGAGCGCAACCCUUUUCCUUAUUUGCCAGCGGGUCAUGCCGGGAACUUUAAGGAUACUGCCAGUGACAAACUGGAGGAAGGCGGGGACGACGUCAAGUCAUCAUGGCCCUUACGGCCAGGGCUACACACGUGCUACAAUGGUCGGUACAAAGGGUUGCUACCUCGCGAGAGGAUGCUAAUCUCAAAAAGCCGAUCGUAGUCCGGAUCGCAGUCUGCAACUCGACUGCGUGAAGUCGGAAUCGCUAGUAAUCGCGGAUCAGAAUGCCGCGGUGAAUACGUUCCCGGGCCUUGUACACACCGCCCGUCACACCAUGGGAGUUUGUUGCACCAGAAGUAGGUAGUCUAACCGCAAGGAGGACGCUUACCACGGUGUGGCCGAUGACUGGGGUGAAGUCGUAACAAGGUAGGCGUAGAUGA